Molecule: ribosomal RNA, 226 nt
Filed under: uncultured soil bacterium
Lineage: Bacteria
Description: partial 16S ribosomal RNA
Rfam family: Bacterial small subunit ribosomal RNA
Source: RNAcentral
AGAACGAACGCUGGCGGCAUGCCUAAUACAUGCAAGUCGAACGAACACUUCGGUGUUAGUGGCGCACGGGUGCGUAACGCGUGGGAAUCUGCCCUUGGGUUCGGAAUAACAGUUGGAAACGACUGCUAAUACCGGAUGAUAUCGAAAGAUCAAAGAUUUAUCGCCCAGGGAUGAGCCCGCGUAGGAUUAGCUAGUUGGUGGAAGGUAAGCUCACGAGGCGACGUAC